RNAcentral lists this ribosomal RNA (710 nucleotides) under uncultured bacterium. RNAcentral describes it as "bacterial SSU rRNA". It matches the Rfam family "Bacterial small subunit ribosomal RNA", at positions 58 to 768 of the family's 1533-position model. The record is from RNAcentral.
CAAGUCGAACGAAGCAUGCCGGAGGAAGUUUUCGGAUGGAAUCCGGGAUGACUGAGUGGCGGACGGGUGAGUAACGCGUGGGUAACCUGCCCUGUACAGGGGGACAACAGUUAGAAAUGACUGCUAAUACCGCAUAAGCGCACAGGAUCGCAUGGUCCGGUGUGAAAAACUCCGGUGGUACAGGAUGGACCCGCGUCUGAUUAGGUAGUUGGCGGGGUAACGGCCCACCAAGCCGACGAUCAGUAGCCGACCUGAGAGGGUGACCGGCCACAUUGGGACUGAGACACGGCCCAAACUCCUACGGGAGGCAGCAGUGGGGAAUAUUGCACAAUGGGGGAAACCCUGAUGCAGCGACGCCGCGUGAGUGAAGAAGUAUUUCGGUAUGUAAAGCUCUAUCAGCAGGGAAGAAAAUGACGGUACCUGACUAAGAAGCCCCGGCUAACUACGUGCCAGCAGCCGCGGUAAUACGUAGGGGGCAAGCGUUAUCCGGAUUUACUGGGUGUAAAGGGAGCGUAGACGGCAGAGCAAGUCUGAAGUGAAAGCCCGCGGCCCAACUGCGGGACUGCUUUGGAAACUGCCCGGCUAGAGUGCUGGAGAGGUAAGCGGAAUUCCUAGUGUAGCGGUGAAAUGCGUAGAUAUUAGGAGGAACACCAGUGGCGAAGGCGGCUUACUGGACAGUAACUGACGUUGAGGCUCGAAAGCGUGGGGAG